Molecule: small RNA, 82 nt
Filed under: Bacillus massilinigeriensis
Lineage: Bacteria; Bacillati; Bacillota; Bacilli; Caryophanales; Bacillaceae
Description: BsrC
Rfam family: BsrC
About the family: The 301 nucleotide sequence from Kouji Nakamura has been trimmed to a highly conserved ~85 nucleotide long core to form this family.
Source: RNAcentral
AACCUAAAACAACGAAAGCCCUACCUCUCUUUCAUCAAUACGGCUCCUAGACCGCGCCUCUUAGAAUCAGGUUCUCUAAUAG